GCAGAGGGGCGGCCAGGUAGGUGCAGGUCGGGCAGAGCCUCAGGCUCCCAGCAGACAAUAAGGAGCCUUUUCAAGCCCUCCGCCGGGAUGCUCUUCCCAGUGACUCCCCACUCACUUGUCUCCUUCAGCCUUGGGGAGCCGGCGGGAUCCAGAGCGGGGCUCCUCUCCGCACUUUGUAGCUGCGUUGCUCCGCUCCAUGCCCUGCCUCAGCCACUCCUCCUGGUUACCAGGCAAAAGGAAACACCUUGAGCUGGCCAGGAGCUACCAGCGUCUGUCUACACCUGGGAGUUCAGUGACAUGACCAGGGCUCACUGCAACCUUGAUCCGGGCUCAAGUGAUCCUCCUACCUCAGCUUCCUGAGUAGCUAGGACCACAGGUGUGCACCAACCACACCCGACUAAUUUUUGUAGAGAUGAGAUCCCACUAUGUUACCCAGGCUGGUCUUGAACUCCUGGGCUCAGGUGAUCAUCCUGCCUUGGCUUCCCAAAGUACUGGGAUUAUAGGCUUGAGCCACCGUGCCUGGCCUGUGAUCAGAAUUCUCAUUUUUUUAGUCACUAAAAAUGCUGGGGGGCACUCCAUUCUCCAUUAUGUGAUUAGUUCACAUUGCAUGCCUGUAUCAAAACAUCAUAUAUACCCCACAAAUACAUACAAAAAACUUUAAAAUUUUAAGUAUUAAUUGCUCAGGAAAAAAUUAAAAUGCUGGGGUGCUGAAAUCUCAAGGGCCCCAUUACAAAACUCCUUGGGAACCUCACCCUCUCUCUGCUGUAAGGACUGGUUCCAGAAUGAGAGAAUUUAAAAGACAUUUCCCCCCCCAAAAUGUUCAUAAUGUCACCCCGGAAACCUGCGAAUAUGUUAUAUUACAUGACCAGGGAGAAGUAAGGUUGCAGAAGGCAGUAAGGUUGCUAAUGGGCUGACCUUAAGAUAAGGAGAUGAUCCUGGAUUAUCUGGGUGGACCCAAUGUAAUCACAAGGGUCCUUAACUGUGGAAUAGUGAGGUGGCGGAGUCAGAGGCAGAGUGAUGCAAUGAGUGAAAGACUUAACCAGCCAUCACCGGCUUUGAAUACGGAAGACGGUCAUGAGCCAGGGAAUGCAGGCAGGCUCUGGGAGCUGAAAAAAGCAAGAAAAUGGAUUCUCCCCUGGAGCCUCCAGAAGGGAUGUGGUCCUGCCAACCCCUUGUCAGUGAGCCAUUUCAGAUUUCUGACUGCCAGGACUGUAAGAAAAUAAACUUGUCUUGUUUUC
RNAcentral lists this long non-coding RNA (1238 nucleotides) under Pan troglodytes (chimpanzee). RNAcentral describes it as "long non-coding RNA NONPTRT001881". Lineage: Eukaryota; Metazoa; Chordata; Mammalia; Primates; Hominidae. The record is from RNAcentral.